AUCCACUGCACCAUCUUGCUGCACUUAAUAAAUGAUUAUUCCCUCCCCUUCCAGAAACUGAGCACAACCCAGUUAAUUAAAGUCUGGUUAAUGAUCUGUGGAUGCUUUAAGUAAUGGGGGCAGGGGAAGGGGGGGGUGAGUCGGAUUGAGCACAAGAGGACCCAGAAUGACCAAGGGCAUUUUUAUCCAGCUAUAUCUUAGGUAUUAAAAGAUACACGAGGAACUACAGACUCGAUUCUAUCUAAUAACAGCAUCUCAAAGCCUGUAACAGGAAUGCAGAUAGUGCUACAUAGCAGCUGGGCUGGUAAGAAGAACUGAGAUGAGGGAAGUUGAUGGCAAAGGUCCAAGGAGAAGUCUGCGUGACUGAACUUCCUGAAAUUGCCUCUAAAACCUCCCUGAUGUACUAAUCCUGUCCCAAGGAACCUAUUUAGUUCUUCAAUGUUUGCCAAAGAUAACUGGCUAUAAUGAAAAUUUAUAAUCACCACAUUAUGUAAGAUACAACCAAGAUUGGAGUGGGAAUGGGAUGUGCAUCGCGGGCCUCUGCCAAUCAUCUUGACCUUUGUCCGGCCACUGGACUUUGGUGACUCAGGAAGAGAGUGAGGCUGAUGACUUUGUGCAACUCUUCCUCACUUAAAUCCAAUUCACGGACAAGUCAAGACAUCAGCCUGUGAUAUCAUCGGUCCUCUUUGAAAAUGAAG
This 698-nucleotide long non-coding RNA is filed under the name Phascolarctos cinereus (koala). RNAcentral describes it as "lncRNA (ENSPCIG00000027052.2)". Lineage: Eukaryota; Metazoa; Chordata; Mammalia; Diprotodontia; Phascolarctidae. The record is from RNAcentral.